GCUCUCGUGAUGUAGCGGCUAACAUACCCGGCUGUCCACCGGGAAUUCGAGGGUUCGAGUCCCUUCGAGAGCGCC
This 75-nucleotide transfer RNA is filed under the name Ktedonospora formicarum. RNAcentral describes it as "tRNA-Asp". It matches the Rfam family "tRNA". Rfam says of the family: Transfer RNA (tRNA) molecules are approximately 80 nucleotides in length. Their secondary structure includes four short double-helical elements and three loops (D, anti-codon, and T loops). The record is from RNAcentral. Lineage: Bacteria; Bacillati; Chloroflexota; Ktedonobacteria; Ktedonobacterales; Ktedonobacteraceae.